This 402-nucleotide long non-coding RNA is filed under the name Marmota monax (woodchuck). The record is from RNAcentral. Lineage: Eukaryota; Metazoa; Chordata; Mammalia; Rodentia; Sciuridae.
AGGCAAGGAAUAAACCUAGUAACAACCAACAAGACCAAAGAAGAGUACACUUAAGUUGAAGACACAACACUUGAUCUGAAACAAGAAGUUUGUGCCUACUCAACAGCUUUGAAAGAGAACUUCCCAACACUGCUAGUAGUCUUUGUUUUCUUCAGUGCUGUACUGUGAGAUGCCCGGUGCAGCAGCAGUUGUAUUCUUUAUUAGUUUGGUAGAUCUUUUUCUCUCGCUCUUUUUUUUUUUUUAAUACUAGCAACUUUCAUCCUUUGAAACGUGUGCUGAAAAAGAAGAAUCAGCAAAUACUACUGAAAGUGCAAUAUUUGAUUAUCACUGCAACAUGAGCUUUGAUCCAAACCUUCUCCACAACAAUAGACACAAUGGGUACCCUGUAAAGGAUGAUGGAAA